CACUAGCGAUCCGCCGGCGGCUCCAAGGCCCUGGUGGGGAGCUUCCCGGAAACGAAAGUCUUCCGGUUCCGGGGGAAGUAUGGUUGCAAAGCUGAAACUUAAAGGAAUUGACGGAAGGGCACCACCAGGAGUGGAGCCUGCGGCUUAAUUUGACUCAACACGGGAAAACUCACCCGGCCCGGACACCGUGAGGAUUGACAGAUUGAUAGCUUUUUCAUGAUUCGGUGGUUGGUGGUGCAUGGCCGUUCUUAGUUCGUGGAUCGAUUUGUCUGGUUUAUUCCGAUAACGAGCGAGACUCCAGCCUACUAAAUAGUGCGGGCAUUGCCUCUGUGCCAUGUACUUCUUAGAGGGAUUGGCUGCGUCUAGCGGCACGAAACGGAGCAAUAACAGGUCUGUGAUGCCCUUAGAUGUCCGGGGCUGCACGCGCGCUACACUGGCAAAGGCAGCGUGCUUGUCCGUCUCCGAAAGGAGCCGGUAAACCCUUGAAAAUUUGCCGUGAUUGGGAUCGGAAAUUGCAAUUAUUUUCCGUGAACGAGGAAUUCCUAGUAAGUGCGAGUCAUCAGCUCGCGUUG
RNAcentral lists this ribosomal RNA (572 nucleotides) under Hemicycliophora conida. RNAcentral describes it as "SSU rRNA". It matches the Rfam family "Eukaryotic small subunit ribosomal RNA", at positions 1044 to 1643 of the family's 1831-position model. The record is from RNAcentral. Lineage: Eukaryota; Metazoa; Nematoda; Chromadorea; Rhabditida; Hemicycliophoridae.